This 253-nucleotide ribosomal RNA is filed under the name uncultured prokaryote. RNAcentral describes it as "partial 16S ribosomal RNA". It matches the Rfam family "Bacterial small subunit ribosomal RNA", at positions 524 to 776 of the family's 1533-position model. The record is from RNAcentral.
UACAGAGGUCCCGAGCGUUGUUCGGAUUCACUGGGCGUAAAGGGUGCGUAGGUGGCAGGGUAAGUCGGAUGUGAAAGCUCGGAGCUCAACUCCGAAAUGGCAUUGGAAACUACCCAGCUCGAGGGUUGGAGGGGGGACUGGAAUGCUUGGUGUAGCAGUGAAAUGCGUAGAUAUCAAGCGGAACACCGAUGGCGAAGGCAGCCCCCUGGGUCAAGAUUGACGCUCAUGCACGAAAGCGUGGGGAGCAAACAGG